GCAGCCUUAGUAUAGUGGUGAGUAUCCCCGCCUGUCACGCGGGAGACCGGGGUUCAAUUCCCCGACGGGGAGGCUGCA
Pseudophryne corroboree (corroboree frog) is the source of this 78-nucleotide non-coding RNA. The record is from the annotation of a RefSeq genome assembly. Lineage: Eukaryota; Metazoa; Chordata; Amphibia; Anura; Myobatrachidae.